This 368-nucleotide ribosomal RNA is filed under the name uncultured bacterium. RNAcentral describes it as "bacterial SSU rRNA". It matches the Rfam family "Bacterial small subunit ribosomal RNA", at positions 355 to 722 of the family's 1533-position model. The record is from RNAcentral.
UAAGGAAUAUUGCUCAAUGGGAGAAAUCCUGAAGCAGCAACGCCGCGUGGAGGAUGAAGGGUCUAUGACUUGUAAACUCCUGUAAAGAAGGAAAAAAUUCCCAUUAGAUGGGAGAUGAUGGUACUUCUGGAGUAAGCCCCGGCUAACUACGUGCCAGCAGCCGCGGUAAUACGUAGGGGGCAAGCGUUGUCCGGAUUUACUGGGUGUACAGGGCGCGCAGGCGGGAUAAAAAGUCAGUGGUGAAAUCCUACAGCUUAACUGUAGAACUGCCUUUGAUACUUUUAUUCUUGAGUUCGGGAGUGUGAGACGGAAUUCCAGGUGUAGUGGUGAAAUACGUAGAUAUCUGGAAGAACACCAGUUGCGAAGGC